GGGAGUGACGGCCUCCUGUCCAUUCAGGUUGGGUUUUGGUGGUCUCGGCUCACACUGAGAACCUUCUAUGUGCCAGUCACUGGGGUUUUUAUACGUUGCUUCAUCGUAUCUGCUAGUCACUCCUGGGGGUGGGUACACGGUUACUGCCCUGGGCACUGGGUCCCAAGGUCAGCUGGCUGGGGAGAUGAGGAGCGGGGCCAUGAGCCUGGAGUCUGUCUCCAGGGCCGCAGCUACCCUUCUGUCCCCUUGCCUGCUGCGGGGACACGACCUCACCUUCCUCAUUCUGGUCGAGGCACAGGGCUUGGCCUCCAGCCCUGGGGCCAGCACCAGGUACUGAGCAGCCUCAGCAGAGCCAACAUUUGACGUGUGUGCGGAGCAUUUCCUGAUGGCGGCCUGGCUGGGAAGCUGAGCACUCAGGCCCCUGCUGACGCCAUGGUCAAAAUCGUCUUAGAACUUCUGGUUCAGAAUUCCACGUGGAUUCUACAGCUCAUUCUUUGUUUUAUGGACCUUCUACGGCGUCAGAUCAGUCCUUGGAGCCUGCUCUGGAUUACCUACUGUGUGAAGCUGAAAAGAAAAAGAGCAGUAUUCAUUUCAAAUUCACACCGUUCAGAUGUUCUACUCAUUUAUAUGAGCCACAUACGGGACUUGCACGAAUUGGCGAGACCUUCCUGUACAGUUCUGGAUGCUGGGAAAUCCUCGAUCAAGGGACUGACAGAUCCUGUGUCUGGUGAGGGCCUGCUUCCUGGCUAGGAUCUUUCUUUUAGAUCAGAUUUUUAACUUAC
Long non-coding RNA from Herpailurus yagouaroundi (jaguarundi), 782 nucleotides. RefSeq lists it as uncharacterized. The record is from RefSeq and is a predicted model, not a curated record. Lineage: Eukaryota; Metazoa; Chordata; Mammalia; Carnivora; Felidae. The transcript is spliced from 3 exons.